AUCAGUGGGGAUAAGUACGAGGUAUCAUGGGGAUAAGUACGAGGUUAUCAUGGGGAUAAGUACGAGGUAUCAUGGGGAUAAGUACGAGGUAUCAUGGGGAUAAGUACGAGGUAUCAUGGGGAUAAGUACGAGGUAUCAUGGGGAUAAGUACUAGGUAUCAUUGGUAUGGGGAUAUGUACUAGGUAUUGAUGGGUAUUAUUCUCUGUCCCUCAUAGGGUGCAUUUUAAAUGGCACUAUUCCUCUUCGUACACUCGUUUUGACAGGAGCCACCUAGGGAGCCUCUAUAUCAGACAGGGUGUCAUUUUGAGAUGAAAACAUAGAUCUAACGACAACCAGGGUUUGGCAAGGGAUACGUCUUUUUAAUUUAGAGCGUGACGAACCUAACCCGCAGAAAUUCUAGUAAAGAGAUGUAUUUGCACACACACACUUCAUGCAUACGACACCAGCAGACAGUACACUGUACACACGGACGAGUGUUCCACAACCAGGAAAAACAACUUCCUUAAUCCACUUUUUUUUUAUUUUUUUUAUUUUUUUUAUGAACAUGUGUUUUCUUUUUUUGUGUUCUAUUUCUACAGGUUUGGUUUUCGAUGCAGUAUGUUCAUUCAAGGGUUUCCUGCAUCGUUUUGCCACUUCCUUUUUAGGCACUUUUGAAGUUAUGCACUUAGAAAACAUGUUUUAUUAAGUAAUGCACCCACCCACAAUGCAAUGCUCUUUGAAAUGAUUAGAUUAAUACUGGAGAUGGAAGGUGUGACACACAAAGGAUUAUUAAAGUGAAACGAUCACAUUCA
Non-coding RNA from Salvelinus sp. IW2-2015, 791 nucleotides. Lineage: Eukaryota; Metazoa; Chordata; Actinopteri; Salmoniformes; Salmonidae. The record is from RefSeq and is a predicted model, not a curated record.